CCAGACUCCUACGGGAGGCAGCAGUGAGGAAUAUUGGUCAAUGGGCGGAAGCCUGAACCAGCCAAGUAGCGUGCAGGAUGACGGCCCUAUGGGUUGUAAACUGCUUUUAUGCGGGGAUAAAGGAGCCCACGUGUGGGCUUUUGCAGGUACCGCAUGAAUAAGGACCGGCUAAUUCCGUGCCAGCAGCCGCGGUAAUACGGAAGGUUCGGGCGUUAUCCGGAUUUAUUGGGUUUAAAGGGAGCGUAGGCCGCCCCUUAAGCGUGUUGUGAAAUGCGGGUGCUCAACAUCCGACUUGCAGCGCGAACUGGGGGGCUUGAGUGCGCCGAAAGUAGGCGGAAUUCGUGGUGUAGCGGUGAAAUGCUUAGAUAUCACGAAGAACUCCGAUUGCGAAGGCAGCUUACUGUAGCGCAACUGACGCUGAUGCUCGAAAGCGUGGGUAUCGAACAGGAUUAGAUACCCUGGUAGUCCACGCGGUAAACGAUGGAUGCUCGUUGUCGGCCUUUGUGGUCGGUGACCAAGCGAAAGCGUUAAGCAUCCCACCUGGGGAGUACGCCGGCAACGGUGAAACUCAAAGGAAUUGACGGGGGCCCGCACAAG
Molecule: ribosomal RNA, 597 nt
Filed under: uncultured bacterium
Lineage: Bacteria
Description: bacterial SSU rRNA
Rfam family: Bacterial small subunit ribosomal RNA
Source: RNAcentral